UCUCGUGAGAACACGGAAAUCGCAUGAGACUUGAUACACGCGCGAACAGUCCUCUUCCUAACGCAAGCAAUGGCGAAGGUGUGUAUUUGUCGUAAGUGCGCGAAGAGAAGCGCAUUAACGUGUCCCACUGGGAGACUAUCUGAUAACGUUAAUCGACUGGAGUGUAAUGAGCCGACCGAGGACGUCUGUGACUGAAGACUUCGCUCUUCCACGUCGGUCGCUGGUGUGUUUAUUUUGGUCUACGUUGCGCUGGGAGCAGAUCUAGAUUGUCCCGCGUCAGCACGGCAGAUAGAGAGCUGAGGGGGCUACGUCCAGGAGAGGCGCAAGGCUCUGCAGCUACAAGCUAGGAGUAAUUCACUUUUUCCACCUUCUCUGCUGGGAAGAAGAAAACAACAUUUGAGCGUCUGGUCUGAUGGUUGCUCCCUGUGCAGUCCGGCGUCAGAUAUCCCUGAGCUGAUGAUUCACUCGGCCAGCUUGUUUUCAUGUCAUGACCUUCUGAUUAGUCAUGAUUUACAGGAUUAGACUGCAGAAGUUGACAGCUGCAUGAAAAGGAAGUGUGAUCCCUGAGGCCGUCAGCUCAUUCGGCUCUUGAAUGGUGAACCUUCAGGUAGCUCCUGUUUGUAGCAGCGGAGAAUCCAACACUUUGGUCCAGACUGGUUACUCUCACAUGUUAAGUACAACACCAGACAAGCUGAAGAGGCCUGCAGUGCAAGUCGAAAAGUGGAAACACUUCAGCUUGGAGAGGCUGAAUUUGACGGACGACAUUUGGCCACCGUCAUGACUAAUGACUACACAACAGUGAGCAUUCUGCGUUGACUUCGACAGAUCGACUGUAGUCCUGCCAGUCGUUUCCCUCUCAUGAGAUCGUCUGGACCUCUGACCUAACAGCCUCCUACCCUGUACUUUAACCCAACGGCCUCGGAAAACCUCUGUUCCUAUUUAUACCACACACUCACACAGCUGAAAAUUACCGCUCGUUAAAAGCAGCUCUUGUGGCGCACAGCGAGCUUGUUAGCAAUUUGUUUUGGGGGUUUGAGGGGGGGGGGUUAUCAGGCAGUGGGCUGCACGUGGAUUUGGAUGCACAUUUGAUCUUUGCUGCGAUACAAAUUGUAACCGCAAGAUAUUCAAAUCAAUGUGUAAUAUCUUUAUCUGUUGUAGAGAACUCAGUGUCAAUGGCAUCAAUGUUUUGUCUGUGGGGUUCAGAGGAUGAUAUCCUCAGGAAUACUGACCUGACUCCAAGUACAUUUCCCAGAAGAUCCUAAAGGUUCAGAAGAUCUUCUCGAAUGCCAUCAUCAGGAAAAAUGAUUCAACUUCAGCUCCUCAUGUUGGGCAGGCGGCACAAAAUCACACAAUGUGGCCUUAAAUGAUGGAGGGUACGAGUGUCAAAGUGUCUGAGAACGAGGAAACUCCUCACUGGAUAGCUGACUGAAGUUUAUUCAUUCAAAUUUAUAACCUGAAGCUCAGUUCCUGUGAAUAGUUUGCAAUAAACAAAUAAUAAAUAAUACAUAAAUUGAUGUAUAUUGAAACCAAGUGUGAAAAGCAGAUUGUUUGGUGUUAACAAGACCUAAAUAAGUCAUAUAUAUUUAAACGUAUCUAAUGAGGUUAGAUGUUUAAGAAAUGCAGCAAUCUCAAGACUUAAAACAGUAAAAGUUGCUUUUUGUUUGGUUAAAGUUUGGCAGUUCAGCUUAUUUAGCUAAGAGCUUUAGUCAUAGUUUAAAUGAGAUCAAAACAUUGGCAAAAACGUAGCUGUUCCUCUCAGUAGAAAACUUGCUUUCAUGAGUUGGGAAUUCAACCCACGUCACUGAAAUUGAAGGCACAUGUGUCCGACUAAACAAGGAAAUGUUAUCUGACAGCAUCACCGCCGUAUCAGUAAAGCUUCAGGACAGAUGAGUUUUAACAGACAAACUAAUCACUGUGAGAGACAAGCAGCUGGUCAGAAUAAGACGUUUGUUUCUUCAACUCUUCCUGUCUGUGGUGGAAGCAGGUGCUGCGUUUUUCAGCCGCUGGAUGUCUCAGGUCGGAGCAAAACUCCCCAUUUGCUCUUAGUCUCGCCUUGAGAUGCGGCAUCAAUCGGUUUGACUUUACAUGUCGAGGUCAAAGCGCCUCAGAAGACAAACGAUUCGCCGGCAGAUCGGCGGCCCACGCAGUCCCCUUCAGGGCUGUUUGAAGUGGGAGCAUUUUUCUGCCGUCCUGUCAGCGCCGUCGUGCAGAAAGAUCACAAAUCAGAGGAGAAAAUAAAUAAAGCUUCCUCCUCCUACGAUCUUCUGCUGCUCCGGGGAAGAUUAAGGUUUAUUUGUUGCAGCAGGGGAAUCUGAAGAUGAGUGCGAGUCGGUGUGAUAUUUCUGGCUGAAACAUCUCAACAAAGAAAAAGGACAAAAGUGAGGGAGGCUGUUCUUGUCAUGUUAACAUGCAGGUAUAGUCAGCACAUGAGAAAUGACCGUGAGACUAAAAACAUCUCCAACUCUCACCCGAGUGAAGCCCAAACAUCUGGAUGGCCCCCUGGUGGCUGGCUGCAGUACAGCUCAGAAGCCCCUCCCCCUUCAUGUUAGCAGAUGGGACAAAACUCAGUCAGAUGAAUUUUUCCCAAAGAUGGUUUCUGUCAUUUUAGGUAGUUCUUCUCAUGCUGAUGUUUGUUCAAGUGUACGGCCUCACUUUUGCACAGCGGGAGGAAGCGGAGACUCACAAUCCCCAGCAAAAAGAGUUGGUUUGGGAGUUUGGUACCACAUAUGUUAGCAUGCUAAUGUGCUGAUAUAUUGUAGUGUGAACGUUUCACAUUUUAAACCUGAAGAAACCCGUUGAUUGUGGAGGAGUCAGAUGAUCACCAUUAGGAUAUAAAAACAUGUGGGAAUCCACCCAAUUAGCUGAUGAGAUAUUUCAAAGUGGAACAAAGUGAUUGACUGCCAUCCCUGGAGGAGACAAAAUGUCAGACUUUUAGAUGUGUGUCUGCUUUUUGUUUCCUGUUUCCAACCAACAGCCAGGGUAGGUCCUACCCGAACCUUAACCAAGUGGUUAUUAUUGCAACCAUGAUGACGAAGGUCCCCUAACCUUAACAAAGUAGGCAUUUUUAACUCAAGCCAAUGUUUCCCUGAACUUAACCACAUUGUUUUGUGCCUGUACUUAACUAAA
Molecule: long non-coding RNA, 3126 nt
Organism: Scatophagus argus
Lineage: Eukaryota; Metazoa; Chordata; Actinopteri; Scatophagidae
Exons: 6
Source: RefSeq, a predicted model, not a curated record